RNAcentral lists this long non-coding RNA (2450 nucleotides) under Homo sapiens (human). Its description in RNAcentral is "non-protein coding LINC01230:15". Lineage: Eukaryota; Metazoa; Chordata; Mammalia; Primates; Hominidae. The record is from RNAcentral.
AAAGAACUGGGUGGGUGAGAGGGAGCCAGUUUGAAACUCACUUUCCUCCUUUAUUUAUUUUAUUUUUAAAUUUGUGGCAGGGUGUUUGAAGAAAACAAGAAAACCACCCUCAUCCAGGAAACAACAACAACAAAGAGUUUUCUCUCUCUCUCUCUCUCAGUCUCCAGGGUCUCACUCCUGUCGCCUAAGGCUAGAGUGUAGUGCCGCGAUCUCGGCGCACCUGCGGCCUCGACUUCUCAGGCUCAAGCGAUCCUCCCACCUCAGCCUCCUGAAUAGCUGGGACUACAGGCGCAUUCCACCACGCCCGGCUAUUUUUUUUGUAUUUUUAGUAGAGACGGGGCUUCGUCCUGUUGUCGAGGUCCUCAGUCACGGCCUGACCCCUUUUAAGAGAGGGACCUCAAGAGGGGAGCUGAAUUCCUUGAGCCCUCGCCUUUCAAUCAAGUUUUCAAGGCACGCUUUGGCCGGGCCCUCCCGGACUGGCUGUGCUGCUACCUCCAGAGGAAAUCAACGUCUGUACCGAACUCCUAACCUGUGAAGACCUGCUGUCCUCAUAAUUGCGGAGUGGGGCCAAGGAAGGCUACUCUUUCCCCUUUGCAGAUGAGGCAACUGAGGCAACUGAGCCGCAGAAAACUAACUGACCAAGAUCACCCAGCCAGUGGAACAAACAGCUCGAGCCCAGGCUCUCUGGCUCCUAUUCCCUCUGAAUAUUUAAUUUACUAAACUGUUUGAGCAGCCGUAGAUUCCCUUCACAAUCCGGUAAAAUCUAUAAUUACUCCUCCCCUUCCCCAAAAUGUACUUAUUUUCCCAUUCAAUAUCGGAGCUUCUCGGACUUCCUGAAGUUAGUCCCAGGAUAAAGAUCCUCUUUCUCCUCCCCCUUGCCCCGCCCCACGACCUCGCUUCCCAGUAAUUGCUGGGAUCCCGAUUCUCUGGAGGCAUUCCGGGCGGAUUGAUUGAGUGUAAUUCAACUGAGUUAUGAUUACAGCUGCUGGUUCCCCUGUGCCGCAGACGGGUGUGUAGGGAGGGUGGGGCACGUGGAGAUGGGCAAGAUGUCUGGAGAGAGCAGUGGGGCUGUUGUGCACGUUUUUGCUAGAGGUGAGGGUUGAGAGCUAGGGAGGAAACAAUUCCGAGCCCACCCCGCUGGGACCCACGGGCUGAGGUCCUCCAGGAAGCACUGGGGCUCAGCUUUCCCUAUGUCAGUACGGAUGGAGGACACACAGGAGGAAGGCUGGUGGCUCUGCCGGAACAUUCUGAGGGCCUUGUUCUCUGCCUACGCUGGGACCUGCAGUCCCAUCUCCCAUUUGGCCUCAGCCAGCGUGGUUUAUUGUACCCAAAUCCCGCUUGUUUCCUCCUUAUGCAGCAGUUUUAAAAUUUCGAACUAGUUCAAGAGCUGCUCGGCUGCUCGUUUACUUUCAGUUUUGGGAACAGAGGCUUACACCCCUUUCUCCUCCUGUUUCUCCUCCAGUCCCUCUUCCCCUCAAUCUAGUUUCCCAAAGUUAGCAAACCUACUUUCUUGAUUUUGUUUCUUAACAUUUAAAACAACUGGUGAAGGGCUAAUGAUUUCAUCUCCUUACCACCACCCCUAACCUUAAAAGCAAUAAAUAAAAUAAAAGCCCAGCCUGCCAACCGCAUGCACACACGGCCAGCGGUGGUGGGGGUUUGUAGUUUGCAUACACGUCGCGGGGCAGAAGCCUGUUUGCAAAGGCUGAAAUGUAGCUAGCAGGGGAAGACGCUGAAAAAACAGAGUGAUUUGAUAAAAACGUGCUGGGCCCUGUUACAGGAGGGCUGCUGGGAGUAGUCCCAGGUACUCACAUCAGAAGGGGUGCAGGGGAAUAAAAUUUAAAAAAGCAAACCCAUGGCGAGUCUUUCUUGCUGGGAGUGAGGGGCUCUGCAAAAUUUCUGGGACUUCAGAACAGAGGUCGACAAGGUCCAUUGCUCUUCCCGAGACUACUGGGUGAUCCAGGGCUCCUCUCUGAACCUCAGUUUCGUCGUUGGAAAAACGGGGAUAGGAACAUAUUUCUGUUGCUGUCAAGAAUUUAAACGCUCCAGUGCAGGUGAAGGAAAUGUGCUUUGAUGACUGGGUAUAAAAAAUGUGCAAAAAGAACCUGGCGUUACAAGGUGGUGUCAAGGGAGAGGAAGUAAAAGUCUGUAUGACCUCCCUGUCGCUUGUCGGAGCGCGCACCGCUCCCAAGUCACCCUCUGAGUCGCCAGAGCUACCGAAAAGCCGAUGGGAAUAAGCAGGACUGUUUCUCUACUUCCUUCAUUGGGCUUCGCAAGAGGCUCUGGGAAGAAGCACCCGUACAAAUGGGAAUCCCAGUGCCUGGUCACCGGGGAGGAACUUUACAACAUCACUGAAGGUUUGAGAAUAGUGCUUCUGGCUGGUCGCGGUAGUUCCUAAGCUGCCUUUGUUCCCACUUCUCUGAUCCAGGUUAACUUUUAACAUUCUGACAAAC